Aphis gossypii (cotton aphid) is the source of this 676-nucleotide long non-coding RNA. RefSeq lists it as uncharacterized. The record is from RefSeq and is a predicted model, not a curated record. NCBI's taxonomy places the organism in Eukaryota, Metazoa, Arthropoda, Insecta, Hemiptera, Aphididae. The transcript is spliced from 3 exons.
ACACCGAAUAUCAACAAAAUAAAAAACAAUUAUAUUCAAUAUAUUCUAAGAUUCUUGAAACAUAUUCAGAUACGAUGGGCUACAAUGUAUUACAAAACUUUAUCUCGUCGUCAUUCGCCAGUAAACAUUAUGAACUGUCAAAGUGAUCACUAUAUUUGUAGACGGUAAUCCUGACCGGCGACAAGGGCAAUAAUUAUAAUGUCGACCGUUGCGUUGAACGCGUUAAAAAUCAGCCUAACAUUUUUGAUACCUACAUGCAUUGAAUUAAUUAUAGGAUAUCAGUACACGUAGCACUGAUCGUGGUAUACUCAGAGAGUCCUGAACAUACUAAAAUCAAUUACAGAGAGAACCAGCAAAAACCACAGUAACAACUACAGCCAAAACAGCAAAAAAGAUAUUAAAUAGAAAUGGCUGUGUAAUUCAAGGACAACACCAACAUCAGUUAAGCAAAAAACAAGGAAAUAACCCAUCGAGCAGCACCAAUAGACAAGAACACACGACAUAAUACAAAGAAACUCAACACAGUGUAAAAGAAGAUUGAAGCAAUAAAAUACUGUUUUACUUUUAUUGUUAAUAAUCCCGUAAGAUUAGCCCGUCCAUUUAAUAAUAUUACUUUAAAUAUAAUAUGUUCAUAAGAGAUUUAAAAAAAAAAUAAAAACCUUAUUUCAUAUCAUAA